CCUACGGGAGGCAGCAGUGAGGAAUAUUGGUCAAUGGGCGCAAGCCUGAACCAGCGACGCCGCGUGGGGGAUGAAGGGGCUUUGCCUCGUAAACCUCUGUCGGAUGGGACGAAAGGUGGCUUUGAGCCACUGGGACGGUACCAUCAAAGGAAGGAUCGGCUAACUACGUGCCAGCAGCCGCGGUAAUACGUAGGAUCCGAGCGUUGUCCGGAGUUACUGGGUGUAAAGGGUGCGUAGGCUGUCCUGUGCGUCAGAGGUGAAAUCCACGGGCUUAACUCGUGGGGUGCCUUUGAUACGGCAGGGCUUGAGUACGAGAGAGGUGCGUGGAAUUCCUGGUGUAGCAGUGAAAUGCGUAGAUAUCAGGAGGAACACCGGUGGCGAAGGCGGCGCACUGGCUCGUAACUGACGCUGAGGCACGAAAGCGUGGGGAUCAAACAGGAUUAGAUACCCUGGUAGUCCACGCCUUAAACGAUGCAUGCUUGGUGUUGGUCUCGCAAGAGAUCAGUGCCGUAGUUAACAUGAUAAGCAUGCCACCUGGGGAGUACGAUCGCAAGGUUGAAACUCAAAUGAAUUGACGG
This 578-nucleotide ribosomal RNA is filed under the name uncultured bacterium. RNAcentral's name for it is "bacterial SSU rRNA". It matches the Rfam family "Bacterial small subunit ribosomal RNA", at positions 338 to 916 of the family's 1533-position model. The record is from RNAcentral.